UAGUUUCCUACUUCAGCGGAAAAGAUUGAGCAAUUAUUGAAAGAUACACUUAGCAGAUUGGGUUAUAAAAGAAUAUAUUUUCAAAUUGGAUUACUGUAAAAAAGAGUAUCAAAGGUGUUUUUUACACCUGUAAAAAAUACUGUUGGAUGAAAGGGUAUUUUACACGAAGGUGUCUGGUUGUAAUAUGUUAAGCUUAUAGAAAAAGGGGGGUAAUAGGGUGCCAGCCCCCGCGGUUAAACCCUACACCUUUUCUAAAUUUUUAAGUAAAGAAGAGAAAGGAAAACUUAAGAAAAAAAGUUCCCUUUAUUUUGGUGAAAUAAGUAAAUUGUUGACCUUAAUUUGGGUUCUUAGAAACUUUUUUCUUAAAAGCCUGAUGUAGAGACAGGGAUUAGAGACCCCUUUAUUUAUGGUGUCUUUUAUUUGCGGGGACUAUGAACAAAACGUUUAAAAACCAAGAGGCUUGGCGGUUCGUUAAAUCCGUUUUUAGGGGAACUUGGCGGUUAAAUCGAUAUUCCUCGAAGACCUUACCUUUUUUCAUCCUAACAUACCGCCGUUGACAAUUUACCCCGAAAGGUUCUUGGUAAGUAAAAAAUAAUUAUCAAAACAGUGAGAUAAUAUUUAAAUUCAGGUAAACGUGUUGGUUAUAAAGAGGGCUUAGCUGAGUUACAGUUGUAAAACAUAUCGGAGAAAGAAACAUGAAAUUGUCUUUUAAAGAAGUACUUUUUAGUAAUUACUUUGAGUAAAGAGUAAUGAAUUGUGUUUUAACGUGCGUACAAAUCGCCCGGUAGUCUCCGCAUAAGCGCUUUUUAGCAAAAGGCGGGAUAAGCCGUAACAUAGUAAUGCUACUAUAAAGUGGUGUUGUGUAUAU
Molecule: ribosomal RNA, 868 nt
Filed under: Dreissena polymorpha
Lineage: Eukaryota; Metazoa; Mollusca; Bivalvia; Myida; Dreissenidae
Description: 12S ribosomal RNA
Source: RNAcentral